UCAAACCUGGAGGACAAUUUGCAGUGACGAAUCCUGGGCCUUAACAGCUGCUGAUGUUGUUUGUCAGGAACUGGGUUGUGGCUCUGUAGCUGUGGCGCCACCUGAUGCUCACUUUGGAGAAGGAACGGGGCCAGUUAUCGGCCCGCCCGGUUGCGAACAUCAACGGGAUCUUGGUGUGAUCUGUUCAGGAACCAUCGCACCUCGCCUGGUGAAUGGAAACAGUGCUUGUGACGGUAGGCUGGAGAUUUAUGCGAAUGGUACUUGGAGGACUGUCUGCGGGGUUGGAUCGUGGAACUUAUCGAGUCUGGACUUCACUUGUAAAGCACUGAACUGCGGCUCUGCAAUAGAAGCUCCGCUUAAUGCUCAUUUUGGAGAAGGAUCAGGACCCAUUAUUGGACCGCCUGGUUGUAGCCACCAAGAAGACAUUGGAGUGAUUUGUUCAGAAAGCAGAGAUCUCAGACUGGUGUCUGUGGACUCCCGAUGUUCCGGUCGUCUCGAAAUUCGCCAGCGGCAACAAUGGGGGACAGUCUGUGACAGAUCCCUCGAUUGGGAAGACGCUGCGGUGGUUUGCUC
Long non-coding RNA from Pristis pectinata (smalltooth sawfish), 573 nucleotides. RefSeq lists it as uncharacterized. NCBI's taxonomy places the organism in Eukaryota, Metazoa, Chordata, Chondrichthyes, Rhinopristiformes, Pristidae. The record is from RefSeq and is a predicted model, not a curated record. The transcript has 3 exons.